UACGUAGGGGGCGAGCGUUAUCCGGAUUUACUGGGCGUAAAGCGCGCUAAGGCGGCCGGCUAAGUUGGUGGUGAAAUUUCGGGGCUCAACCCCGAAACUGCCUCCAAUACUGGUCGGCUCGAGUGCGGGAGAGGAAGGUGGAAUUCCCGGUGUAGUGGUGAUAUGCGUAGAUAUCGGGAGGAACACCUGUGGCGAAGGCGGCUUUCUGGGCCCUACCUGACGCUGAGACGCGAAAGCGUGGG
RNAcentral lists this ribosomal RNA (242 nucleotides) under uncultured prokaryote. RNAcentral's name for it is "partial 16S ribosomal RNA". It matches the Rfam family "Bacterial small subunit ribosomal RNA", at positions 524 to 765 of the family's 1533-position model. The record is from RNAcentral.